Molecule: ribosomal RNA, 977 nt
Filed under: uncultured bacterium
Lineage: Bacteria
Description: bacterial SSU rRNA
Rfam family: Bacterial small subunit ribosomal RNA
Source: RNAcentral
AAGGCCUUCGGGUUGUAAACUCCUGUCAUAAGGGAAAAGGCGAGGGGACCUAAUACGUCCUUUAGUUGAUUGUACUUUAAGAGGAAGCGACGGCUAACUCUGUGCCAGCAGCCGCGGUAAUACAGAGGUCGCAAGCGUUGUUCGGAUUUACUGGGCGUAAAGGGCACGUAGGUGGCGAGGCGUGUCGAGUGUGAAAGCUCUGGGCUCAACCCAGAAAGUGCGCUCGAAACUACCUUGCUUGAGUGCGGGAGAGGGAAUCGGAAUAUAGGGUGUAGCGGUGAAAUGCGUUGAUAUCCUAUAGAACACCGGAGGCGAAGGCGGAUUCCUAGAACGCAACUGACACUAAGGUGCGAAAGUCGGGGGAGCAAACAGGAUUAGAUACCCUGGUAGUCCCGACCAUAAACGGUGCAUACUCGAGGUGGGGAGAUUUACCCUUUCUGUCUCUUAGCUAACGCGUUAAGUAUGCCGCCUGGGGAGUACGGCCGCAAGGCUAAAACUCAAAGAAAUUGACGGGGGCCCGCACAAGCAGAGGAGCAUGUGGCUUAAUUCGAUGCAACGCGAAGAACCUUACCUGGAUUUGACAUACAGCUGCGAGGCUUAUGAAAGUAGGCCGCCUUCGAGGGAGCUGUACAGGUGCUGCAUGGCUGUCGUCAGUUCGUGCCGUGAGGUGUUUGGUUAAGUCCACCAACGAACGCAACCCCUUUGAUCCGUUACCAGCGAGUAAAGUCGGGGACUCAGGUCACACUGCCUGUUUACGCAGGAGGAAGGUGGGGAUGACGUCAAGUCAGUAUGGCCCUUACAUCCAGGGCUGCACACGUGCUACAAUGGCAUAUACAGAGCGAAGCGAGACCGCGAGGUGGAGCAAACCGCUUAGAGUAUGCCUCAGUUCAGAUUGGGGUCUGCAACCCGACCCCAUGAAGUCGGAUUUGCUAGUAACGGCGUAUCAGCUACGACGCCGUGAAUGCGUUCCCGGGCCU